Molecule: long non-coding RNA, 13700 nt
Filed under: Vigna radiata
Lineage: Eukaryota; Viridiplantae; Streptophyta; Magnoliopsida; Fabales; Fabaceae
Description: long non-coding RNA (VRAD_LNC006923)
Source: RNAcentral
UUUUUUUUUUUUUGUUUUAGAAAUCAAAUUAAAAAUCAAUUAAAUAAUCUGAUACAUAUUAGAUUGAAUAAUUUUCAUUUGAUUUGUAUUAAUAAUUUGAUUGAUUAAUUGAAUCUAUUAAUUGUUGAAAUUUGAAUUUGAAUGAAAAGAGAAAUUGUUUGGUUGUUGGAUUUGUGAUUUGACUUUUUAUCUUUUCUACUUUCUUUUUCUCAAAUAGGUUGCAUUGUUUAAUUUUUUUAUUUACGAUUUUAUUUUUUAAACUUCCAAAUUUAAUUUAAAUGAGGAAAAUAUUAAAUAUUGAAUACAAUUAAAUAUGUGUCAUCUUAAUUAUCGAUUUAGGUUGUAAUAUAUAUUGAAAAUUUCAGAUAAAACUUAUAUUAUUUGAUUUGACUUCGAAAGUUAGAGAUGACAAUAAUUCAACAAAUGGAAUAAGUAAGACCUCUUGGACAAAACCAAAAUUAUGAAGUAAAAAAAGCAAAGAACGAGAUAUCAAUAACAAUGAUACUCAUUUUGAAGAUGGAAUAUUCAAGAAAAACACAUUUGAUAACUUUUGCAUAGAAUUUAUCCAACCUGAGAGACAUAUCAUGGACAGAACAUAGACUAAAAAACACAAAAAAAAAUAAUAUAGGAAAUAAAGAUUCAUUUGAAACAGGGAAUUUAAUUUUCAAGAGAAACAAAAAAGAACAUUCUAUUUAUAAGAAAACAAUAAUAACAUUACUCAAUGAUGAAUUAGUACAUUAGCACUAAAUAAUUAGGUACAAAAAAGUGUUUAUUUUUUUUUCUUUUUAUUAUUCCAUUUUGUUGGGAUGUAUAAAAGCAAGUGGGUUGAUGUGGAACAUCAUGUGAAUUUAAAAAAAGUAGAAAUGCUGGUAGAAAUGUAUUUUGUUUCUUCUUAUCACUCCUAAAAACUUUUAUAACUUUGUCAUAUUUAUUUUUUACUUCAUUAAAGGAAAAACACAAAAGAUAGAAAAAAAAAAUCAUUUCAAUAAUCCAAAUAUAAUGAGACUAUUUUCAUCAAAAUGUAAUGAAAUAUCAAAAUCUAAAAAAUAUUGUUGAAUUAGGACUCUAUAUGCCUUAAUGACUUUUAGAAUAAACAAACUUACAUUUCUUUUCUCAUUGAAAGAAAAUAUAUUAUGUUUCUUUAGUUGACAUGAUUCUAGGACUUGAAGUUUGUUAUAGAUUAGGAAAUAUCAUCUUUAAUUUGGAUAGGUGUGGAUGAUCCCACUAGUGUAAAAAAGAUGAUUUAGCUUGGCCUAAUAUGUUUCAAUUUCAAGAAAAACAAAACAUUUAUAAAAAACAAUGAUAUUUUUUAAAGAUUUUUCCCCUGAGUGUCAAAGUAAAUGCUUCGGUUUUAGGUUAAACCAAAACCUAUAUCCUAACGACAUGAGUAUAAGCUUUGGUUAUUUAAAUGAACUGAAGCCUAUACUCAUGCAACCAUGGUGUAGACUUUGGUUUUACAUAUAACUGAAACAUAUACUCAUCUUCAUAAGAUUAAUUUAUGAAUUUUUAUAACCCGUGAAAGGUCAUGUUCAUUAGUGUUGUUGCAUUCUUCUCCUUCGUCACUACAAACUCGUUUUUUGUCAUCAUUAUCAUUUAUCUUUCUUCUCAUUUCUCGUUUAUUUCUUUCUUUCCUUCUUGUUUUCAUCUUCCUUCUCCUAAUGUUGUUUUUCUUCUUGUUUUGGUGUCCAUGUUGCAGUUUGGUGGCCAUUGGGGUGUUGUAGCAUUGCAUGUUCGUCUUGGUCUUGGACUUGGUCUGUUGCGUUUGAAGCGUGAUGACAUUGUUAUUGUCUUUGUUGUUGGUUCAUGUUUGAGUAGUUAGUCUUGGUCACUCUCACUCUUGCCCUCACUCUCAUUUCCAAGUUCCUUCAUGCCAAAUAUUUUUAAUUAUUUGAAACAUUAUUUUAUAUAUGUUGUUUAAUGUAAUUAUUGUAUGUUUAAUAUGUUGAUUUUUUUAAAUUUUGGCUAAUUAAAUGCUUAUAUAUUUAUUCGAGAUUGUUAUAGCAUUAGUUAGCCUUAAAUUUCCAUUUGAGAUUUAAUAUGAUUUUUUUUAUUGUCUCCAAAGAUGACACAAUACUAAUAAUUUAUAUGUCUUGAAUUUUCAAUUGUCAGGUUGUACAAUUUAAGAUUAAUCACUUUUUAAUAGUUCAUGAGUGCAUUAUUAACGUCUCUCUUUACAGAAUAUAAGUCGUCUCCACAUAGGCACCAAUUAUUCUUACAGAGUCUGUUGAGAUUGUUGAUAAGGGAAGCACCGGGUUAUCUAACCUUAAUCUCACAGUCACUUUGGUUUUUGAUGAUGAUAACACAUUAUUAAUAACACAUGUAUUAUUUUGUGUUACAUGUUCUAUUCCUCAUUAUGGAUGAUAUCUUAUUGAACAUGUUUGUGUUGAUCUUGAUAUAUGAAUGCACUUACCGAGCUUAUAUCUGAUACAUCAUUUAUGAUUUCAUUACAUAUGUUUUUGAAGAGAAAACCACAUGCACUUUUAUGAACUUAUAUUGUAUGGUAUAACUGCAAGUUUUAAGUCAACUUCAUUAUGAAGUAAGUCGAUUAAAACUCGUGACUAUGCACAAACUUUCAAAAGCAGUGUUGUGAGUGAUUUUGCAUUGAAAAGAUUUUCAAAUAUAGCUGAUGUGCCUAAGUUGACUACAUGCGCAGUGGAUCCGACUUAGUUAGUUCUUUGAUUUGAAAUUCUGUUAUGCUUGUGUACAGUAACAGUUAUAUUUUAAAAAUUAGUUAAAGCAUUGAUGAUAGUCAACUAUAUUAAAUGCAAAAUCCAUUUGGUUGCUGUUGGCUGCUACUAUUUGACUUAACUGUUAUAACUGUCUAAUGACAAUCGACUUUAUUAAUAGCCUAGUCGACUAUAGGAGCGUCUGAUUUAUAGAAAACUAUAAAUAGAAAACUAUAAAUAGACGUAACUCAGUUGAUCACUGGGACUUUGGUUAUUCUUACACUUUCAUUUUGAUUUACAGAUUGUGAUCUCUGAAAAUUUGCUCCAAGAACUCAUCAAGAAGACGGUGGUGAUCUAUCUUUGAGGAGGUUCUUUGAAGGAGAUUUUUACUGAGCUUACUGUUUGAUCAGAUUCUAACUGGUGUAUUCUUGUUGAUCAAGACUGCCUUCAAUCUACUAGAGAUUGGUUUUUCCUGUUGGGAUUACAGGAGGUUGACUCGUGGAGUCUGUACACUUUGAGGAUUGUUCAAAGUGGGUUAAAGAUUGUAGAAGAGGGGAUAUCUUGUUGCAGAUCUUUAUUGUGUUUACUGCCUAUAUUUUGGUUAGAGGGUUAGAGAGGUGUUUUAUAUUUUUGACGUGGAGGUCUCUAUAAAAGCCUUGUUGUAAAAACCUUGACCAUUAUAGUGCAUUUGCUUCCGGAUUUUGGAAGGACACUGGAUGUAGGCAUUGAGGCUGAACUAGUAUAAAAAUUUGAGUUUGAUCUCUCUAUCCUCACUCUUUUACAUUCAGUCGACUUACCUGUUAACAUUGAAACUCAACAUUCACAACAUUUUAGAACAAUAUAAAAUUCAUGAGAUAAGAAUGAAAAUAAUGUAACAUAGCAAAUACAAUCAUGCAAUUUCAAUUUAGGUCACCAUACCUUCGCCUUAGCUUUCUUUUCCUGCUCAAGUCUUCUUUGUACACUAUCUUCCUCCCCUUCUCGCCACAAUUAUAACUCCUUUAAAAACUCACCCUAACACAUGAAAUAAAAGUGUAUUUAGGUUUGUUCAUUAUAGUAGUUGGAAAAUAAGCAAACACUAAUUGGAAAAUAAAUUAUGCACUAGAGAAAGUGAUGCACAAGCAUAUUAAAUUGGCUUAGAAUUGUUGCACCAAACUAAAAGUUUAAGUCACACCAAUGCAUUCAGAACAUCAUUUCUAAAUUGGCUUAGAUUAGAAUUUGAAAAUAAGUGCAAUAUCCAAUUUUAAAAGCUCAAGUAAAUGUUGUGGCAACUUUCAAUAAGCUGCAUAAUUGAAUAAUAAGCACUUAACAAACUGGAAUAAUAAGCACUUAACAAGCUUGUAUUGAUUUAACAAGAAAGUAAACUGGGUUAUACUCCUUUUGGUGAGAUUACUGCCAUUAUAGCAGAACUUUGUUCUACAACCUAUAAAGAGGAAGUUUUCAUGAUUUGAGGUUAGUUUGUAGCACUCUUUCAGAAUUUAUAAAUUGUUUACAAGGUCAGCUUACUGCUUAAAUGAGUUAGGUAUUAAUUUUUAGUCCUUGUAGUAUAACUAUAGUUUUGUCCAAUCUAAAAGCUAGGGUAUGGUUAAGCUGCAGGUAUUAUAAAAUAUUGUUGAAGUUUCAUAUUUCUUAACCGUGCACAAAGAAGCUCCCAUUUACUUGAGAACAAAGUUGGGCUUUAGCCCUAUAAAGUAAUUGUUGUAAAUCUCAACUAGUUAAAGUAAUUGUUGACAAUCACAAUUUUAUGGUUCCAACAACUUUUCUUUAUGAAAUAUGAGUUGUAGAAGCUGCCAGCACAUGCUAAAUAUGAUUAAUUCAAAUUAUCACUGGUUUAGUUGCUCUUUAACACCAAUUUUAACCAUUUUCACCUAACCAAAUUCAAGCAUAAGAAUCAAAUUGGACUGUAAUCAUGUAAUCUGACUCUAGGACAACAAUUGAGAUGUGAACAAGACUCUAGGAGUGAUAUAAAAGAUGUCCAGAGGUGUUGUUGAUUUCUCUUUUAUCCUAGGUUGUGUUGUCUAUGUUUCAUCCUUAACAAGACUCUUUUACUUCCAAGUCAAUUUCAGUAGUUUGUUUACUUUUUAUUAGUCUUCUAAAGUUGCCUACAUAACAGUUAUACUAUAACCACUAACAUAACAAUUAAGUUCUUUUUCAAUCUCAAAGAAAAUGCUUAUCAUGAAAAUAGUUUAAAAAAUCUGAGAAAAAAACUAUGUGAUAGAAGGAAAUCUAAUCCAGCUUAUAUUUGCAGAUCCCAAUUGUUUCUCUAGCUAAAGCAGUUGAAUUGGCUUUUAAGUACUAUAAAGAAGGGUUUAGGACUUUAAAGCUGAAGGUGGGAAAAAUUUUGGUCGUGAUAGACUGUCCAAAAUUUAUCAUACAUUUUCAACACUUGAUGCAACACUUGAUGCCAUAUUGUAAAUUUAUCACGAGUGCAUCAACUCCUUCAAUGUGCAUAGAUUGUUGAUCACGAGUGUCAUGGUAGCUACCAAAUUCAUGGAUGACAUGUCAGUCUCUCUUUCUCUCAUUUAUCUCACCACUCAAAACUUUCUUCACUUCAACAAAAUCUACUUUCCUACAUGAUCACAUGAAUGGAGAAUUACCCUUUGAUGAGAUCGGAAAAAUCUUUCAUUUUUUAAGUUGGGAGAUGUUCUUGGUGGAAACUAAAAAAGAAAAAACUAGAUUUUCAUAUUCUGGGUUUUAUCAGUUUUCUAAAUUUUGAAUGUUUGUGUAUCUGUAAUAACUGCUGAUGAAAUCUUUGGUUGUUUAUAAGCUAGGAAAGUUAUUAGAAGGGAAUGUUUUUCGUAUUUUUUCUGAGUUAGAUGCAAUACUUAAGGAUCAAUUUUUCAUUCAAAACUUUGAAAAGAGGUUUUUGAAAAAGAAAACAACUGGUAAAUAUUGCAUGAUCAUGGUGGAGGUGCCUAAUUUUUUUAAAAUGUUAGAAAAAUUGUCUCAAUUUUCUUGAUAGACUUCCAAAAACUGUUUUUCUGAAUUCUGAAACUUAGAGACAUAAUUUUAAGUUAACAAAUGAUGAAUGAUCUUGGUCUUACUUCUUUAUUCUAAUUUCUUAGUUUUUUCCUGUAAAUUACAGUUAUCUGCAGAAAAAUGAAAGUUCUUGAAAGCCCAGAUUGUGAAUUGUAUUUUACCCAAAAAAGAUUAUAUCUUUUUCCUUUUGGGUGCGUUUUUUAAUCUUGUAUGAUCCCCUCUGACGGAAAGUUUUGUGUUUAUGAUAAUAAUAUUUCCUUAAAGAAUAUAACGUUGCUUGUGAAAAAUACUAUGGCCAGUUGGCUUUCCAUUGAUAAGAGACAAUCACCCAUGUGAUCCCAUUAGUUUACUGCACAUAUCCAGCAAAUAUCUCUUAUUUAAUUAUAUACAUAUACAGGUAAAUAAAUAUUGUGUUAAUGAAAAUGAAUCUUCAUAAUUUUUAAUAAAUUUUAACUUUAAUUCAAUUUAAACAGAAUUUAUAUGAAGACUGAGAAAGAUAUUUUAUGCCAUUGAUGAUUUUCAGGUACUGCAACAAUGCAUACUAUAAGAAAGUUGGGGGAAUCAGCAAAAGAGACAUGAAUGUUCUUAGGUUUUCACAUGAAUGUGAGCCCAAGAAGCUUUGAAGCCUACUGUGUUCAUCUUCAAAGAGAAAUGGUGCUGAUACAACCUCUGAGUUUUGUAGGAAAAUCAUUAAAAACUUAUUUGUGCUUCAAUGAAGAUGAAUCUUCUCAUCAAAACUCACUAACUUAACUUCUUUCUUGAUCUCUUCUCAUUUUUUUUUUAUUCUCUAAAAUUGCAACUCCACACCUUUAAAUCAAUAUUGUGUUUGGUAUCAACAUUGCUCUUAAAUUCUUCUUUUUCUUCUUCGAAUUCUAUCUCCUCAAUUCUCGAGGUACGUUUCUAAUCCAAAUCUUCAAUUUAGUUUGAUUUUAAUCUUAUAAUCACUUCUAUUUUAUAUUCAUGUCAAUAUUAUAUUAUUCAUGUCAAAUUACUUUUCAAAUCUUCAAUUAAGCCACCAUCAGCUUCCUUUACUACCAGCUUAGCCCCAAAACUCAUUUUCAAACCUCAUCCUCAGCACAUACCAUUACAAGUCCUAACUCGUCCUUCUUCCACAGUGAAGCCACUUGCAGAGAGGGGCCCUGUGACCACAACUAAUUUUACCCAUGUUACUGGCCCAUUCUCCCCUUAUCUUUCUCCUCCAUCAGGUACUCCAUUAUCAAAAAUCACCACCACCAUUACUAUUAACCUCAAUGAGCCCCUCUCACCCUAGACUACUGCUGCUUGCAUACCAUAGCUCAUAUAUAUUUUAAAGAAGUCAAAAAAUAUUCAUAGCUAGAUAAAGACAGCCAAAUGCCAAAAGAAAGAACUGACCUUAACGGCAGCGAAGCCCUUCUCACGAAGCUCUAAUACCCUCUCACGCGAAGCCCUUAUCACGUAGUAAAAGCCACUUCGUCACACGCCUUCCUCGCCAGCUAGAAGCUUUUCCCACGUCGCGACACCACCCUCUAACACCACCUCCUCAUGCCGCCAAACCACCGUCGUAUUGAGGAGCUCCACAAUGUCAAAAACAGUGGCUGGAGAAAGAAAGGCGGGGUAGAGUGCAGAGAAUUUGGGAGUGAAAGUUGGGGUUUUUUUAUGCUGAGGAGAGAAUUGGGGAAAAUGGAAGUCUAACAUCCCAAAUUCUGAUUUCAUUAAGUGCAUGAAUAUAUCGACGGGCAACGAAGCCUUCGAUAAAAUCUUUGCCUAUUACCGAAGGGCAUAAGCCCUCUAACGUGAUAAAAUCGCUACCCAUUACCGACGGGCUAAAGCCUUCAGUAUAUUCCCUUUACUGAAGGCCCAUAAGCCUUCGGUAAUAAUCCUUCGGUAAUUAGCUUCUUUCUUACGUAGUCUACUUUGUAAUUCCGCUGCACUUAGAAUUUUCAUUCCUUGUGAUUCAAGAAAUUUUGUAAAGGUUUAUACUUUGUGAAAAAGAUUUCAAAAAGACUUUGAUUUUGAAAACUCACCAAUUCAACCCCCCUCUUGGUGUUAAAACGAAGCCAACCUGAUUUCCAACAAAGCCAAAUAUAUCUUACGAAGACUUUGACAAACAUUCAAAGCGCUCCAAGCCUUCUUUGUCCUUUUUAAGACUACUUGUCCUUUGUUAGUUGGACAAAGGAUUGUGCCUGUAGAAGAAAUUUGACCUUCAAGUCAGCCUGCUACGUCAAAAGGUAAUUAAUGUUAUAAUAAUGAACUUAAUUAAUGUACUUCAUAAAAUGUGUUAUUUAUACUUACUAUUUAUUGAGCUUUACCUGGAUGUAAAGCUGCCAAAAUUGGUUAAAACCCGCAAGCCAACCCAACCCACCACGGGUUUGAACCUAGUUUGAAUUAAAAAAAAUUACAUAUUUUGACACGAGCCAAAGAUGAACCCAAUCCACUAAGAACCCAACUCACCUAGGUUUAACCUGUGGUGAGCCGGGUUGGCUCACUAACCCACCCAUAAAUUCUAAAUAUUAAAUUAUAUUAAAAAAACAAAAAACCCUAAAUGUUCUCUUAUGUAAAUGUAUUUGGAUUGUAUUAUAUUUUUGUGAUUUUGGAUUGUAUUUGGAGUUUAACAUCAUUUUGAAUUGUAUUUUGAUUAAGCUUUAUUUAGAUUUCAAUUAGGAAAAAAUUGUAUUUUUUUUAGAUUGAAGAAAAAAUAUUUGUAAUUAAGUGUGUCAACCCGUUUAACUUACCAACUCGUGGUGGGUUGGGUCAAGUUCAAAAUUUUUGAAUGAGAGUUGUUCCCUACACCACCACAGAUUUCUUCCUGCACCACCCAUUCCACAAUUGCCCUUCAAUGAAAAUUGAACUACCGUGGUUAAAACGUUAAAAGAAAAUAAAUAGAAAUGGAAGAUCCAUUGAAACUUCAAUGGACAUCAACAUCCGUUGACGGAUAUCAACAUCCGUUGAAGGCCAAACAAAUAUGGGAUAUUCGUUAGGCCUUCAACGGAUAUCCAUAUCCGUCAACGGAUAUCCAUGUCCGUUGAAGGUUGAACUAAUUUUCACAUCCAUUUUGGCCUUAACGGUUCUCACUGUUGUAGCAAGUUCAACUUCCAUCUGCUCAGCUUGGAGCUCUUUAGAGUACAGUUUCUCUCUUAAUAAGCUCGUCAACAAACAUUUUGCUUUAAGUUCAAUUCUUAAAUUAUCCUAUACAAGUAUAAACAUGAUCGACAUGAAUUUUCAAUGAAUAGAUUAUGUAAAACAUAUUUAAAAUAAAUCAACAUGUAGACAGUAAAACUGAGGUUUCAAAAUUUAAUUCCAUUAAGUAAAACUUUCUUUGAAAUUUGCCUCAAAUAAUUGAUCAUUUAUUGUAGCUAGCUUACUAGCCUAUGUACACUCUGAUUGAAAUUUGGAAGUCAAUGGAUUUGACUUAUCUUUCAACAAAGAAGACAUUGUCUGCAAACUCCUUACUAAACCCUCAGUGCCACUUUUGAGCCCCUGAAUUUUAGUUUCAGAUUCAAUAAUAAAUUGCCUAUCUAAACCAUUUCCAAUCACUUCUUGAUCCAACUGGACAUUUUGGUGAAGAUGGUUUCCUUUACCUUUAACGAAUUCCAGUAUUUUUAAACAAAAGUAUGUGCUUUCAUUUAACAUUAUUAGGCCUUGAUUCUGAAGGUAGUAGAUACGGGAACGGAAAAAAGGGGGUGGGGGUGGUGGGUGACAGAAAUGGGAAAAAGAAGAAGAAGAUAGAGGGGAGUGGGUGUGAUGUGCGCUGGAAUGAGAGUAUAAAAUUAGGGUUUUUAACUAAAAGUAUAAAAAUUUAAUGGUAAAAGUAAAAACAUUUAACCUAAAAAUAUUUUUGGAAAAAGAAAUAAAUUGGGGAGGUGCAGGAAAAAGGAUGUGGUGGUGGAGGGAGUAACUUUCUUUUUGAAUUCGUUAAUAAGUGAGUCGGGUUGGGUUGAAUCAUUAAGUAGUCAAUCCAUGGUAGAUCGGGUCAAGUGACCCGUUUUGAUAGCUCUACGAGUGUUGCUCCCUCCACCACCUCACAUGCUUCCUCUACCUCCCCAAUUUUUUUAAUUCCAAUUUUAUUAUUGGAUUAAAUUUUUUUUACUUUUACCAUUUAGAAAAUUUUAAUCUAUUUGAAACCCUACUCCUUAUUUACUCACUAGGCACCAGCACCCUCCCAAUCUCAUAGAUCUCACUUUCCCAUUUCUGUUUCACGUUCCUCUCCCACGCAGCUGCCUUCUCAUUUCCGUUUCUUAUUUUUCUUUUUUCUUCAUUUGUUUCUUUCCCCAUUUUCCUUUUGGUUUUAUUACUCAUAAAAAUGGCACCAAUACACUAGCCCUAGUCCACAAAUGUUGAUUCCUUGUGAGUGAAAUUCAUCAAUCAUUCCAAAAGCAUCUUAUUUUAAAAAAUUAUUAUUCAUCACGGAAAUGAUUUGCAUGUCCAAAACACAAAACUUUGUUUGUAGCAUAAUUAAGAGAAACAAAUAUGAAUUCAUGAACUUUAAAGGUCAGAAAGGAUUAAUGGAACCAUAGUCGAAAUGAUAAUAGUAGUUAGUGUGGUACAAUUGGAGCUGUUGUCAACUAGAAAAUGGGACAAAUGAUUUCUGCAGUUCAAGAAAUAAGUACAAGUGAGACAUUAAUGGGAAGAGAGCGAUUAGUUAAAAUGAAGAAGAUUGGUUUGAAUGUGCAAACAGUAGUAAUGGAAGAAAGUGAAAUCUGUGAGAGAUGGGUGGGAUGUAGCUGCCAAACAAAAAUAAUAAUAACUAAAAUGAAAAAAAUGAAAAGAAAUCAUUGAAGGCAUGAACGAAAAUCAUUAUUCGUUGACGAAUAUGGGCAUUUGAAAGCACAAUGCAUCCUCAUUUUCGUUUGAGGCCUGCAACUAUUGUGAUAUCCUUUGAUCUUCAAUUUUGGAAGAAAGUUAUUUUAAGCUUACAACUUCAGGGCCAAUUCCAUGAAAUAAGAGCUUUCUGCAUGCUCUGCAGCUGGUUCUAUAAGCAACCAUAGCCAAAGGCAAACACGAAUGAAAGAAACAAGAUAGGCAUUCCCCACGGCUUCUUCAAAUGAAGUCUCUACUUCAUGAAAGAAACUGAAGCCUCUAUUUCAAUAUGUGAAUUUACAGUGAACACACAAGCUUUAACCGAAAGAAGAAUAAUUGACAGAAAGGAGCACAGAGUCACAAUUCCAAAGUAAGGAUCGCGUGAGAAAGCAGGAGCAUCACAAACUGAAUAAACACCUGCAAAAUCAUCAGAAAAAAAUCCCAACAUGAGAUCUGCAAUACUCAGCAUGCACAAAUUAUAUAACCUCAUCAUAUAGGCACUAAAAAAAUAUAGAGAAACUUUAUCCAAAAGGGAGAAAAAAAACGUAAUCGGCGGAAUUUCUGACAAACAUAAACUCUAUGAUUUAAAGCAGAGCAACUGAACAUAAUAUAAUAGUUCAAGUUAAUAAAACUAAUAAAAUUUUAAUUAGAAUAAUAUAAACUAUAUGAUUAUUUAGAGAAGUAGGAGUUCUGAUGGAUGCAAAAAAUCACUUCAUGUUGCAUAGCUCUGACACUAUUAAUGUUGACGGUUUAAACAAUUUGCUCCACUCAAAUAAUAAACGAAAAAAAAAAUAAUACAGAAGCACCAACAAAUCAUAUGAACAAAAGAAGCACCAACAACCUGGGUUAGAGACCAAACAAAACGAAUAAAGAAAUAAUAGAGAAGAAACGAAAACAAAAAUGAGGGAAUGGGGAACAAAGGAAUAAGAGAGAAGAGGGAGGGGGAGAGAGUUAGAGUGUGGGGGUGUGUGGCUGAGUGAGUGAAUAAGAGAGAGAAAGGUAACAAACUAGGGUUUUAAGAAAAAGUGAAAAAAAAAGGUAUAUGGUAAAAGUAAAAAGAUAUUUCUCAAAUAAAAGAAAAUUGAGGAGGUGAAGAGAGAAGGUGGGGAGGUGUAGGGAAUAACACCCUAGCUCUACCUGAAUAAACUUGGGCCACGUGGUCUAAUUACCUAUUAAUAAAAUAAUCAUAAUUAAUUGUGAAUUUUUUUGGUUUAACUUAUAGAUUAAUGUGACUAAUAAUGUAAUUAGUAUGAUCUUCUCUUGACUGAGAAAGUGUGAGUCGAGUACAUAUCUAUUUAGUAGACUGAGCUGUAUUAGAUUAAAAUCAAGUUGUACACUGCUAUGACCGAAAGAUACUUAAACGUAUACGAUAUAAUAUAUUUUGUCAUAAAUAUUUUAAUUUUUUUAUAACAAAAAAUAAUAUCUCAAUUUGUUUUUUAGAAAAUACUUUAAGAAUAAGUUUGGCUAUAGACUUUAAAAUUAACUAAAAUAUUAAAUUUGAAUUUUUAUUAAUUCAAACGCUUUAUCUAUACCAAUUAUAAAUGUUGACAUUUGUUUUUCUAUUUUUAUUCUUUAAAUAUAAUUUUUAUAAAAUUAAAAUAAUUAUUUUAUCAACUCUACUAUUUCAAGUAACGAUAUUUUAAAUCUAAUCGUUUUAUUCGAUUUAACUAUUUUUUAAAUAUAAAAGUAGUUUCGAAAUAAAUAGAAAUUAUUUUAAAAAAUAUAAAAUUUAUUUAUAUUUAAUUUUAUAAUAAUAAUAACAAUAAUAAUUUGAUUAUUUUUUACCAGAAUUAAAAAAAAUAAACACACACAGCACAUGUAUUUUCACUAAUUUUAAUAUGCAAUUCUAAUAUAUUAAAUUUUAUUUUGUUUGGUUAAAUAAGGUAUUUCAACUACUAACAAAUAAUAACAUAUAUUAGUCCAAAUAAUUUAAUAAAUAUAAAACAUCAACUGGUAAUGUUUUUCGGUUGAUAUUAAUCAAAAUUAUUUUUCAACAAAAAAAAAUUAUCAGAAUUUUUUCUUUAUUGAUAAUAAGUGAAGUUAUUUUAGAAUGAUGUUAGCCAUAAUUUGAUUAACAUUAAUAAAGUAUGAUGUUAGCUAUAAUUUGAUUAGCAUUAAUCAAGUAUGAUCUAAACUUAAAUCAAUAUAAAAUUAAACUAAAAAAUAAUAAUCCUAUUAACAAUUAAUGAAAAUUCUAACAAGAUACAAAUCCCUAUAAGUUGAUAAAUUUAGCCUUGUCAAGUAAUAAAAUAACCUUUAUUGAAAAUGAACCAAAAAAAAACAUCAUUAAAAGUUAUAAUUGUCAGAAGUGGGAUUUGAACCCACGCCCUCUUUCGAAGACCAGAACUUGAGUCUGGCGCCUUAGACCACUCGGCCAUCCUGACUUUGACGUUAAAGUCAAGUGUAUUAUAAUAUUAAUAUAUGUUUUGAUAAAAAGUACAAUAGUAAUUAAAAAAGAAAAGGUUUUUCAUGCUGGUGACAGACAGAAGAAAAGUGUGAAAUUGUCCUUUUUGUGGUGCCUCUUCUCACAGCAUUCACCGCUCCGAUAAUCGUUGUGAGUUUUUAAUUUUGAUCAUGGUCUGUUACACCAUCAAAUUCUUCAAUUGAAAACCCUAAAUCACUAAGGCUAAUAUAGGACGUUGUUUCUCUAUAAAUUUCAACAUAUCUCACUGAGCACAAUUAAGUUAAAAAACUUAAUCUACAAUUUAUCUAUACUUUUGUAAACUUAAAAAAGUUAAACUACUUUUGCUAAAAACUAUUUAUACUCAUUAAUAGAUCAGUUUAAAAUUACUAAACUAUUUUUAUUUUGAGUUCAGUUUUCCUCCUUUUUCUCAAUCAGAGUUAGGUUUUCCUAUUUUCUUUCUCCAUUACAAUUUUCUAUUUUCCUAUUUCUUAUCUUCCUUGAAGGCCGCCGCACUAUUGUCGAAGACUCGCCGCAGAAGGCUUUGCCGCACUUUGCCAUCGCCACACUUUGCCGUCGCCGCACUUUGCCGUCGCCGCACUUUGCCGUCGCCGCACUCUGCCGUCGCCGAACGGUUGAAGGCUCUUCCACCAUAGUACACUUCUCGCUGGAAAGAGAAGCAAAUCCGCAACCCAAAGGUACGUUUUUCCCUUUCCCUUUCAAAAGAGAUUGAAAAACCUUGGCAUAGGAGCAGUGGAAGAACGAAGGAGAAGAGGGGGAGCAAAACAACGCCGUUGAGCGGGAGCUGGAGGAGGACGCACCUGAGCUCCCGAAGGAGUCGAUGGAGUUGCCGGCGGGGGGAGAGGGCGAGGGCGGGAGGC